UACGUAGGGGCCUAGCGUUGUCCGGAAUUAUUGGGCGUAAAGAGCUCGUAGGCGGUUCGGCAAGUCGGAUGUGAAAUCUCCACGCUUAACGUGGAGGGGCCAUUCGAAACUGCUGUGACUCGAGUCCGGUAGGGGAGUGUGGAAUUCCCGGUGUAGCGGUGAAAUGCGCAGAUAUCGGGAGGAACACCGAUGGCGAAGGCAGGUCUCCGGUGGCCACUACUGACGCUGAGAAGCGAAAGCAUGGGAGCGAAGAGGA
This 256-nucleotide ribosomal RNA is filed under the name uncultured bacterium. RNAcentral's name for it is "partial 16S ribosomal RNA". It matches the Rfam family "Bacterial small subunit ribosomal RNA", at positions 524 to 777 of the family's 1533-position model. The record is from RNAcentral.